This 77-nucleotide transfer RNA is filed under the name Synergistaceae bacterium OttesenSCG-928-I11. RNAcentral describes it as "tRNA-Arg". It matches the Rfam family "tRNA". Rfam says of the family: Transfer RNA (tRNA) molecules are approximately 80 nucleotides in length. Their secondary structure includes four short double-helical elements and three loops (D, anti-codon, and T loops). Further hydrogen bonds mediate the characteristic L-shaped molecular structure. tRNAs have two regions of fundamental functional importance: the anti-codon, which is responsible for specific mRNA codon recognition, and the 3' end, to which the tRNAs corresponding amino acid is attached (by aminoacyl-tRNA synthetases). tRNAs cope with the degeneracy of the genetic code in two manners: having more than one tRNA (with a specific anti-codon) for a particular amino acid; and 'wobble' base-pairing, i.e. permitting non-standard base-pairing at the 3rd anti-codon position. Lineage: Bacteria; Thermotogati; Synergistota; Synergistia; Synergistales; Synergistaceae. The record is from RNAcentral.
GGGCUCGUAGCUCAGCAGGAUAGAGCAACGGCCUCCUAAGCCGUAGGUCAGGCGUUCGAAUCGCCUCGAGCCCGCCA